UACUUAGUGGCCGAGUGAUAGGUGAAAGUUUUUUAAACUAUUUACAACAGUAGUUCUAAGUAGC
This 64-nucleotide transfer RNA is filed under the name Eophreatoicus karrkkanj. Its description in RNAcentral is "tRNA-Lys". The record is from RNAcentral. Lineage: Eukaryota; Metazoa; Arthropoda; Malacostraca; Isopoda; Amphisopidae.